RNAcentral lists this ribosomal RNA (1986 nucleotides) under human gut metagenome. RNAcentral describes it as "bacterial LSU rRNA". It matches the Rfam family "Bacterial large subunit ribosomal RNA", at positions 3 to 1980 of the family's 2925-position model. The record is from RNAcentral.
UCAAGCGAACAAGAGCGCAAGGGGAAUGCCUUGGCAUCAGGAGCCGAUGAAGGACGUGAUAAGCUGCGAAAAGCUUCGGGGAGCUGCAAAUAAGCAUUGAUCCGGAGAUGUCCGAAUGGGGAAACCCACCUGAGCAAACCUCAGGUAACGCAUAGUGAAUCAAAUAGCCAUGCGUGGGGAACCGCCUGAACUGAAACAUCUAAGUAGGGCGAGGAAAAGUAAUCAACCGAGAUUCCGAAAGUAGUGGCGAGCGAAAUCGGAAGAGGCCAAACCGUACGUAGCAAUAUGUGCGGGGUUGUGGACGGCAAUGUCGGUAAGCUUCGUUAGACGAAUGGUCUGGGAAGGCCAGUCAAAGAGUGUGAGAGCCACGUAGUCGAAAAUGAAGUGAACGUAGCCGGAUCCAGAGUACCGCGGGGCACGAGGAAUCCCGUGGGAAGCCGGGGGGACCACCCUCCAAGCCAAAAUACUACCUGAUGACCGAUAGAGGAGCAGUACCGUGAGGGAAAGGUGAAAAGCACCCCGGGAGGGGAGUGAAACAGUACCUGAAACCGUGCGCCCACGAGCAGUCGGAGCACCUAUAUGGUGUGACGGCGUGCCUUUUGUAGAAUGAGCCAGCGAGUCGCUGGCGCGGGGCGAGGUUAACCGAAAGGGAGCCGGAGCGAAAGCGAGCCUUAACAGGGCGACUUGAGUCCCGCGCCGCGGACGCGAAGCCGGGUGAGCUAUCCGUGGGCAGGCUGAAGCGGGGGUAAGACCCCGUGGAGGGCCGAACGCACGUCGGUUGAAAACGGCGGCGAUGACCUGCGGAUAGGGGUGAAAGGCCAAUCAAACCCGGAGAUAUCUCGUUCUCCCCGAAAUAGCUUUAGGGCUAGCGUCGCGCGUUCACCGCCGGAGGUAGAGCACCGGAUGGACGAGGGGGCUUCGCCGCCUACCGAAUCCAACCGAACUCCGAAUGCCGGCGGCCCAGAGCGCGGCAGUCAGAGCAUGUGGGCUAAGCUGUGUGCUCGAGAGGGAAACAGCCCGGACCGCCCGCUAAGGUCCCCAAGUUCCAGCCGAGUGGCAAAGGAUGUGCGUCCGCCCAGACAACCAGGAUGUUGGCUUAGAAGCAGCCAUACAUUCAAAGAGUGCGUAACAGCUCACUGGUCGAGUGGACAUGCGCCGACAAUACACGGGGCUAAGCUGGACACCGAAGCGGCGGGAUUUUGAUUUACAGAAUCGGUAGGGGAGCUUCCCAUGGGCGGCGAAGCCGCCGGGCGACCGGCGGUGGAGCGCAUGGGAGUGAGAAUGCUGGCAUGAGUAGCGAGAGACGAGAGAGUAACUCGUCCGCCGUGAACCCGAGGUUUCCUGGGCAAGGCUAAUCCUCCCAGGGUCAGUCGGGGGCUAAGGCGAGGCCGGGAGGCGUAGCCGACGCGCAGCAGGCAGACAUUCCUGCACCGCGCACGCGGCGCUACGACCGACGGGGCGACGGAUGGGGGUGGCUCGGCGGGGUUCUGGACGUCCCCGUGAUGGAGCGCGGCCCGCGGACCAGGGAAAUCCGGUCCGCACGAGGGCGAGGCUCCGGACGAAGCAUCUGAGCGAAGCGAGUGAGCCCGAGGUCCCUAGAAAAACCCCUAGGCAGGCGCGUGCGCGCCCGUACCGCAAACCGACACAGGUGGGUGGGUAGAACAUACCGAGGCGAUCGGGUCAACCAUGGUCAAGGAACUCGGCACAAUGGCCCCGUAACUUCGGGAGAAGGGGUGCCCGCGCGUACGUGAACGGACUUGCUCCGGGAGCGGAGGCGGGCCGCAGUGGAGAGGCCCAAGCGACUGUUUACCAAAAACACAGGACUCUGCAGAAGCCGCAAGGCGACGUAUAGGGUCUGACGCCUGCCCGGUGCCGGAAGGUCACGCGGAGGAGUUAGCCGCAAGGCGAAGCCCCGAAGCCAAGCCCCGGUAAACGGCGGCCGUAACUAUAACGGUCCUAAGGUAGCGAAAUUCCUUGUCAGGUAAG